UACUUCAACAAAUUCGUACCUCCUAAUAGUU
This 31-nucleotide non-coding RNA is filed under the name Mus musculus (house mouse). Lineage: Eukaryota; Metazoa; Chordata; Mammalia; Rodentia; Muridae. The record is from RNAcentral.